GAUGAACGCUGGCGGCGUGCCUAAUACAUGCAAGUCGAGCGAACAGACGAGGAGCUUGCUCCUCUGACGUUAGCGGCGGACGGGUGAGUAACACGUGGAUAACCUACCUAUAAGACUGGGAUAACUUCGGGAAACCGGAUCUAAUACCGGAUAAUAUAUUGAACCGCAUGGUUCAAUAGUGAAAGACGGUUUUGCUGUCACUUAUUGAUGGAUCCGCGCCGCAUUAGCUAGUUGGUAAGGUAACGGCUUACCAAGGCAACGAUGCGUAGCCGACCUGAGAGGGUGAUCAGCCACACUGGAACUGAGACACGGUCCAGACUCCUACGGGAGGCAGCAGUAGGGAAUAUUCCGCAAUGGGCGAAAGCUUGACGGAGCAACGCCGCGUGAGUGAUGAAGGUCUUCGGAUCGUAAAACUCUGUUAUUAGGGAAGAACAAAUGUGUAAGUAACUAUGCACGUCUUGACGGUACCUAAUCAGAAAGCCACGGCUAACUACGUG
This 497-nucleotide ribosomal RNA is filed under the name uncultured bacterium. RNAcentral describes it as "partial 16S ribosomal RNA". It matches the Rfam family "Bacterial small subunit ribosomal RNA", at positions 28 to 507 of the family's 1533-position model. The record is from RNAcentral.